GACCUCUCAACCGCUUUGGUAUUCGAUUACAAAAGUCGGCUUGGAACUUGGGUGCCUCUGGCGAAACGCAAAAGGUCUUUGCGGACCUGUCGCCCACCCCAAAGUCAGUUGGGCCAACCGCGCGGAUGAGCGGACGGUUUGACCACAGUGUUGUAAGGUUCGCCUCACUGUCGGGACGUCCAUUUCCGUUAGCAAUCAGGCAUUCGAAAUACGAUACUAUCGA
This 223-nucleotide unclassified non-coding RNA is filed under the name uncultured Basidiomycota. Its description in RNAcentral is "sequence contains ITS2". The record is from RNAcentral. Lineage: Eukaryota; Fungi; Basidiomycota.